AGUGAACGCUGGCGGCGUGCCUAAUACAUGCAAGUCGAACGAAGUGGCGCACGGAUGGGUAAUAUCUAGUUAAUCACGCCUACACACAGGCACAACAGUUGGCAACGGCUGCGAAUACCCCUUAGUGUAGGAUGAGACUAUAUCGUAUCAGCUAGUUGGUAAGGUAAUGGCUUACCAAGGCUAUGACGCGUCACAGGUCUGAGAGGAUGAUCAGUCAAAUCGGAACUGAGACACGGUUCAAACUCCUACGAGAGGCAGCAGUAAGGAAUACUGCGCAAUGGGGGAAACCCUGACGCAGCAACGCCGCGUGGAGGAUGACACUUCGCGGAGCGUAAACUCCUUUUUGCAGGAAAGCGGUACCUGAUGAAGAAGCACCGGCUAACUCCGUGCCAGCCGCCGCGGUAAUAC
Molecule: ribosomal RNA, 408 nt
Filed under: uncultured bacterium
Lineage: Bacteria
Description: partial 16S ribosomal RNA
Rfam family: Bacterial small subunit ribosomal RNA
Source: RNAcentral